This 477-nucleotide ribosomal RNA is filed under the name uncultured bacterium. RNAcentral describes it as "partial 16S ribosomal RNA". It matches the Rfam family "Bacterial small subunit ribosomal RNA", at positions 28 to 507 of the family's 1533-position model. The record is from RNAcentral.
GAUUAACGCUGGCGGCGUGCAUAACACAUGCAAGUCGAACGAUGAAACUUAGUCGACUUCUUCGGAAAGACACUAAGCGGAUUAGUGGCGAACGGGUGAGUAACGCGUGAGUAACCUGCCUUACACAAGGGGAUAGCCUUUGGAAACGAAGAAUAAUACCCUAUAAAACUAUAAAAGCACAUGCUAUAAUGGUCAAAGUGAUAGCGGUGUAAGAUGGACUUGCGUCUGAUUAGCUAGUUGGUGAGAUAAAAGCUCACCAAGGCAACGAUCAGUAGCCGGCUUGAGAGAGUGUACGGCCACAUUGGGACUGAGACACGGCCCAGACUCCUACGGGAGGCAGCAGUGGGGAAUUUUGCACAAUGGGGGAAACCCUGAUGCAGCGACGCCGCGUGAUUUAGAAGGCCUUCGGGUUGUAAAAAUCUUUUGUAUAGGAAGAAAAUGACAGUACUAUACGAAUAAGGUCCGGCUAAUUACGUG